AUACGAAGGUGGCAAGCGUUAUUCGGAAUCACUGGGCAUAAAGGGCCUGUAGGCGGUAUAUUAAGUUAAUUGUGAAAUCCCUCGGCUUAACCGAGGAAUUGCUGUUAAUACUGGUAUGCUUGAGUGUUGGAGGGGUAAGUGGAAUUCUUGGUGGAGCGGUGGAAUGCGUAGAUAUCAAGAGGAACGCCGGAGGCGAAAGCGACUUACUGGACAACUACUGACGCUGAGGGGCGAAAGCUAGGGGAGCAAACGGGAUUAGAAACCCUAGUAGUCC
Molecule: ribosomal RNA, 274 nt
Filed under: uncultured bacterium
Lineage: Bacteria
Description: partial 16S ribosomal RNA
Rfam family: Bacterial small subunit ribosomal RNA
Source: RNAcentral